Lepisosteus oculatus (spotted gar) is the source of this 119-nucleotide ribosomal RNA. NCBI's taxonomy places the organism in Eukaryota, Metazoa, Chordata, Actinopteri, Semionotiformes, Lepisosteidae. The record is from Ensembl.
GUUAGCAGCCAUAUCACCCUGCAACUCACAACUGGCAACCCACUGAAGCUAAGCACGUGUGAGCCUGGUCAGUACCUGGAUGGGAGACCUCCUGGGAAAAACUAAGGUUGCUGCUGGAA